This 3675-nucleotide long non-coding RNA is filed under the name Citrus maxima (pomelo). Its description in RNAcentral is "long non-coding RNA (CMAX_LNC004175)". The record is from RNAcentral. Lineage: Eukaryota; Viridiplantae; Streptophyta; Magnoliopsida; Sapindales; Rutaceae.
AUGCUGCCACAUUUGUUUCAAAGGGUAUGGUUUCUUAAGGGGGUGUCGUCCGGAGUUCUAAUGGUAGUUUUGUUGCUGCAAAAUGUGGCUAUCUCCUUGGCAAGUACGGUGCUAGAGAGGUGGAAGCUCUUGCUGUGCAUGAAAUUCUCAGCUGGCUCAAGGAUAUGCAAUUUCCUCAUGUUAUUAUUGAGAUGGACUGCAUGCAAGUGUACAAUGCUUUGGUUGAUAAAGUCCUAAUGGCUUUGGUUUGAUUAUUAAUGAUUGUAGAGCUUUGGCUUUGUCUAUAGGAGAAGUGAUUUCCUCGUUUGCUAGACGAUCUGCGAACACUGCUACCCAUGUUGUUGCGCGGGUGGGGGGUUCUUUGUUAGAUUCAAGAGAGUAGAGGCAUGUUCCGCCUCCUUAGUUGCUUUCCAGUCUGUAUGGUUCUUCUAGUUAAUCAAAUUCUACUUUCUUCAAAAAAAAAAAAAAAAGUCAUAUGUCAGUCAUUAUAAAAAAAGAAUAUUUUAAUUAAUUUUUUUGCGGGAAAAUUAAUUUUCAUGCUUGAAUUAUUAUUUAAUUAAUUUUACUAGGUAAAUAUUUAAUUUGUUACAUAAUUUAUGAUUGAAAAUUUCUGUCAUAAAUGAUUUUGUUUUUAACUUCGUUUAUGAUUAAUAUUUUCUGUCAUAGGACGAAAAUUUAUGUUGAAAAAAAUUCUGAAUUAUUUCAUUUAAAUUUAUGCACUCACGUAUUUGAAAUUCAAUACGAACAAAAAAUUAAAUUAUACAUUCUAUUAGGCCCAAAAACACUUUAUAUUAAUAAUAUCAUCCAAAAACACUUGUAUUAACAUUUAUAUCCAAACAAUGUAAUUCAGAAGAUAAAUUAUCUAGCAACCAAGAGCAAAUGUUUCAAAUUUACAAGCCAAGAAGCCAUCAAAUCUUAUAGUGCAGAACUCCUCCCAUAUUCUCAGCAAAAUUCCAGCACAUAAACUCCCAUUGAGAACAACUACCCAGCAAAACUCCCAAGUCCAGUAGUUUCCUUAAACCUGCAUGUGCAACACUAAUUGAAUAUGCCCAGCACUAUCAUUAUAAAAAAUUAACUAUUACUGUAAAACUCUUAAGUUUUAGAUACAGUAAAAUCAUUACAAAUUCAAACUCAAUCUGCAUGUGUAGCACCAAUGAAUAUAGCCAGCACUAUCAUUAUAAAGAGCUAUUUAUUAAAGUAAAACUCUAAGUUUCAAAUGCAACUUAAAUAAACUACCUGCAGAAUCAUAAGGCAACAACACAAACUCAAAACAUCAUUUUGAAGGUUAGCCAAAUUCAAACCGUCAAUUUCAAUGAACAGAGCAAAAACCUGCUGCUCUAUUCUACUUAGAGUUUGCCUUAAUUCUUCAAGAGCUUGAACUUGCAUAGUUUCAUGUUCUUGAGCCUCUCUAAGACAACUCUCUAAUUCAGCUUUUGCUUCAUUGUUGGCACAUUCCUCAGUUAAUUCUUUAGCCUCCUUGGCUGCAGCCAAAGCAUUUAUGUCGUAAUAUUUUUGUUCUACAAGUUCUACUUGGUGUUUCUCAAUUGUUUCUUAAAGCAAAUUCUCUAUGGCUGUUUUGUCCCUCUUGAUGCUCUCUACUUUAUUUUCUUCAACCCAGGAGGACAAAGAUAAUACAAAUCUUUAACAAACUAUUGCAGUUCAUCAAAACAAAGUUCAGAAGUGUAAUUUAGUCAACAAAAGACGCAUCUACUAAGUUCAUUUAUGCAGUUAAAGCAAAAAAAAAAAGUUUAUCCAUCCCAAUACUUCAGAAAUUUCAUUUCCUCCCAAGUGCUACAGAAUUAAUUUUUCAACUAAUUAAAACUAAUAUGACUUUAAAAACUUCACUUACAUAAAAACUAAUUCUCAAUUACAAAUAGUCUGAGUUUGAUUAAACUCAAAAAACAUCACAAGACAUAAAAAGCCUGUCAAGAUCACAAGUAAACAAGAUUUUGCUAAAAUAUGCCAAAACGUCCAUAUUAUCUUCAUUUAUAUGACGAUUGAAGAAAAUAGCAGCUCGAUCUAAUAUACCAGCUAACUCUACAAUUAAAAAGAAUGCUUUGAGAAUCCAACUACCUGAAGUUUGGUAACCAAACCUUUCUUCUGCUCUUCAAGCUCUCUAAUCUAGUUCUUAUGAAAAGGGGAAUAAAAGAAAAAAGUAUAUUCAUUAGAAAGAGCAGUUGAGAUAAAGUCUUUUGAAAACCAAACAAUAUGUAAAACUGCAUGUGUACUUAGAGACCUUAAUUUCUGGAUUUGAGCUUCUUACGCAGUUUUCUUUUUUGAAAGCUCUUCACCUGAAAUGACAGAUGAAUGUUAAGCAGGGGCCUCAUCACAUAAUUAUUGGCUACUGCCAAUCAAAUAUGUAAAAUCCAAAUACAAUGCAUCUGCCAGGCAGAAAAAGCUAAAGAUAGGGAAAGGAAUGGUUUAAUCACUUUCUAUAGUUUUAAAAAUUUUGAUUUUAAAUAUAUCAUAAACUAAGAUGGAAAUUGCACAUUAACUAAUGCAGUAGUCAAAUUUUUGACAUACUAAAGACAAAAUCAUGGGAUGAAAACAAAAAGAUAUGCAUGACAUGCUAUUAGAGGGACAUAUGAACAUGAUUCUUCUUCCAAUAACUGCUCAAACUAUUAGUUUAAAAUUGUAACCGAAAAUAAAUGAAGAGAACUUAAUCCAACAACUCCCAAUUUAGGACUCACAUUUGAAAACAAUUUCUCGGUUUUAAGUCACAUUCCUAACCUAUCACAGAGUGGAACCUAUGUAAAGACGAGCAUGUACACACACACACCAAAAAACAAAAAAAAAGGUCUGGAACAAAAAGCAUACCCUUCUUUCUAGAGUUACAACGUAACCCUUUGACGGUAUUCCUCCCGUAAAGUUUCAAGUUCUAUAUCACUGUUUUUUUUCUAAUCCAAAACUUCAAGCUAUUAAAUCACAAAUUAAAAAAAAAAAACCUUAAAUCUCUCUAUCUCUAUCAUCUAAUGCAACUUCUUAACCAAACCCAUCAUUUCAUUUAGUCAAUCAGUCAGUCACUUACUCACAAACUCUCCAAAAUACAAAAUUUCUCUCAACCACUUAGGGCUUUAAACAAAAUUAGAUGAAGAAGAAAAACAAAACCUGGAAUUCAAGGUUUAGGGCUGCAAUCCUCUAGUUCACGUGACAAAGUCAGGGAGUUGAUGGUUCUGGUUGCGUCACGCCAUCGCAAUUUGUGGUCAUGGUAACCGACUUGAAUUUUGUCAUGGGUCUGUGAUUUGGGUGUUGCUUUGUCGUUUGCUCGAUGGUGGUAGUUGCUGAUUGUGUAUGGAAAACUAUAUAUAGGGAAUGGAUUUGGCUAGGUUUUGAGUGCUAAUUGUGAAAGUGAGAGUGAUGAUAAUUGUGCCUAGGGUUUGAGUGUCGUUUGUGAGAGUGAGAGUGAUAAUGACUAUGGUGAGUGUAGGCUAAUUGAUUGAGAGUGUCACGAUGAUUGUGGCUAAGGUUACAGUGCUGAUUGUGGAGUAACAGUGACGAUGAACGUGCCUCGGGUUUGAGUGGCCUUUGCGAGAGUCAGAAUGACGAUGGCGAUGGUGAGUUGUGUAGAGUUUAGGACUUAAGAAAUGUUUUUGCUUUGUUUAGAUUUCGGCUAAAUGCACCGUUUUGUACUAUAUAUUUUUUUUUAUUUCAAAAAUCAUUUCACAUGCUAAACGC